ACUCCUGCGGGAGGCAGCAGUGAGGAAUAUUGGACAAUGGGUGGAAGCCUGAUCCAGCCAUCCCGCGUGCAGGAAGACGGCCCUAUGGGUUGUAAACUGCUUUUAUCUGGGGAUAAACCUACUUACGUGUAAGUAGCUGAAGGUACCAGAAGAAUAAGCACCGGCUAACUCCGUGCCAGCAGCCGCGGUAAUACGGAGGGUGCAAGCGUUAUCCGGAUUUAUUGGGUUUAAAGGGUCCGUAGGCGGACUGAUAAGUCAGUGGUGAAAUCCGACAGCUUAACUGUCGAACUGCCAUUGAUACUGUUAGUCUUGAGUAAGGUUGAAGUGGCUGGAAUAAGUAGUGUAGCGGUGAAAUGCAUAGAUAUUACUUAGAACACCAAUUGCGAAGGCAGGUCACUAAGUCUUAACUGACGCUGAUGGACGAAAGCGUGGGGAGCGAACAGGAUUAGAAACCCCAGUAGUCCC
This 465-nucleotide ribosomal RNA is filed under the name uncultured organism. Its description in RNAcentral is "partial 16S ribosomal RNA". It matches the Rfam family "Bacterial small subunit ribosomal RNA", at positions 335 to 797 of the family's 1533-position model. The record is from RNAcentral.